RNAcentral lists this ribosomal RNA (253 nucleotides) under uncultured bacterium. Its description in RNAcentral is "partial 16S ribosomal RNA". It matches the Rfam family "Bacterial small subunit ribosomal RNA", at positions 524 to 776 of the family's 1533-position model. The record is from RNAcentral.
GACAGAGGUUGCAAACGUUGUUCGGAAUCACUGGGCAUAAAGCGCACGUAGGCGGUCUGUUAAGUCAGGUGUGAAAGCCCUCGGCUCAACCGGGGAACAGCAUUUGAUACUGGCAGACUCGAGGAUGGUAGGGGUGAGUGGAACUCCAGGUGGAGCGGUGAAAUGCGUAGAUAUCUGGAGGAACACCGGUGGCGAAAGCGGCUCACUGGACCAUCACUGACGCUGAGGUGCGAAAGCUAGGGUAGCAAACGGG